This 490-nucleotide ribosomal RNA is filed under the name uncultured bacterium. RNAcentral describes it as "partial 16S ribosomal RNA". It matches the Rfam family "Bacterial small subunit ribosomal RNA", at positions 28 to 507 of the family's 1533-position model. The record is from RNAcentral.
GAUGAACGCUAGCUACAGGCUUAACACAUGCAAGUCGCGGGGCAGCAUGGGGGUUGCUUGCAAUCCCCGAUGGCGACCGGCGCACGGGUGAGUAACGCGUAUCCAACCUGCCCUUCACCACGGGAUAACCCGGCGAAAGUCGGACUAAUACCGUAUGUUGUCCAUUGACGGCAUCCGAUUUGGACGAAAGGUUUGGCGGUGAAGGAUGGGGAUGCGUCCGAUUAGCUGGACGGCGGGGUGACGGCCCACCGUGGCGACGAUCGGUAGGGGUUCUGAGAGGAAGGUCCCCCACACUGGAACUGAGACACGGUCCAGACUCCUACGGGAGGCAGCAGUGAGGAAUAUUGGUCAAUGGGCGUAAGCCUGAACCAGCCAAGUAGCGUGCAGGAGGACGGCCCUAUGGGCUGUAAACUGCUUUUAUGCGGGGAUAAAGUGGCCCACGUGUGGGUUUUUGCAGGUACCGCAUGAAUAAGGACCGGCUAAUUCCGUG